RNAcentral lists this ribosomal RNA (261 nucleotides) under uncultured prokaryote. Its description in RNAcentral is "partial 16S ribosomal RNA". It matches the Rfam family "Bacterial small subunit ribosomal RNA", at positions 524 to 784 of the family's 1533-position model. The record is from RNAcentral.
UACGGAGGGUGCAAGCGUUAUCCGGAAUCACUGGGCGUAAAGGGCGCGUAGGCGGCCUGUUAAGUCCGAUGUUAAAGACUCGGGCUCAACCACAGCAUUGCGUUGGAUACUGGCAGGCUUGACGGUUGGAGAGGCGAGUGGAAUUACCAGUGUAGCGGUGAAAUGCGUAGAUACUGGUAGGAACACCCAUUGCGAAGGCAGCUCGCUGGACAACACGUGACACUGAGGCGCGAAAGUGUGGGGAGCAAACCGGAUUAGAUA